GAGCGUUAAAUAAGGAACCCCUCCCCCACCUCACUCGCAGGCAUCCGCGUUGAGACACUAACGUUACUCAUCAGGCCGAAUAUUCUCUUUCUCAGUAAAAGAGCGUUAACUGAGGACCCCUCCACCACCUCUCUCACAGGGGGCUCUACAGAUCAAGCCGAAGCUUCUCUUCUCGGACAGUCAGUUUCGACUUUACCGUUAAGGAGGAGAUGCUUGCUAAAGUGGAGUUCAGAGGAGUACACAAAUAUAUAACAAUACCUCAGACUGAGGAAAGGUUUGACUUCGACAGAUUUCAUCAAGAAAUAACAGAGAAAUUUUGAUUUUCACCUGAAAAUCAGACUGAGGGUCAUUUCACCUUAACUGAUGAAUCCGGAACAGAAGUAGAUGGGGAUGUUUUUGAUGAUCUUGUAAAGUCAGGUGUCCUGAUCUUCAAGGUCUUGAUUGGACACCCAGUAAUAGGCCUACACGUUGAACUGGUCACUGAUGAAUCUUCUUCAUCGGUUGUGCCCAACAUUUCGUCUCCACCGCUUGCACAAUGUUCUUCUUCAUGGCUUGUGCCCAACAUUUUGUGAGGGUGAAAACUGUUUGCAAUAUAGAAGGUGGUGAAAUUCUUCAACGAACUCUAAAGUUGGACUCAUUUUCAGAAGUGUCAACUACCAGCUGGGUCAAAAGCUAUGGUACAGAAUACCAGAUAAAUCUGUUUGUCUGUACUGGAAUGUGUAAUGAGCUUCCUAUUUUUAAAAAGAUCUGUACUAUUGUCAUUCAUGGACAGAGUGCUUUUUUUAUUGCAUGUGAUGUGUGCACGCUGUACUUUGAUGAACACCUAAAUGCAUACUACAUUGAGGAGUGUACCCACUUUUCUGUCAUAAAUAUGGAUCAACUUAAAUAUUUUAAGCCCUUUGAUAGUGUUUUACUAUGGGGAUGACCGAGAAUUCUUGGUGCCUUACUGUUACAUUUAAAAAAAUGUUGUCUGAAAAUUUAGCUAUUUCUCCAUUUUGUAAUUUUCUUACUGAAAAAAUGUUACAUGUUUUUACAUACUUAAAACUGUUGGCUGAAAUUAGCACAAUUAAAAAAUAUUUGCCC
Long non-coding RNA from Triplophysa dalaica, 1083 nucleotides. RefSeq lists it as uncharacterized. The transcript is spliced from 5 exons. NCBI's taxonomy places the organism in Eukaryota, Metazoa, Chordata, Actinopteri, Cypriniformes, Nemacheilidae. The record is from RefSeq and is a predicted model, not a curated record.